UAUUAUUUGUCUUAACCUCAAACACUGAAACACUUUAUUACAAAAAUAGCAUAGGAUUCCAUCAUAGUAUUAGCUGUAUUACAACUUACUGUCAUAAUAACCGAAGACUUCCAAAAUAGGGAUAUUGAAACUCAAGUGACAUUCUGUACUUUGAAGAAAGUUAGACUUCUAAAGAAAAGAGUUCUCUGUUGGACCUCCUGACCACGACGAUCUACAUCGCCUGGACGAACGUCUAUUGCUGCGAACAUUACUUCAAUUUUCCCUCUGGCCAGUCUGUCCAAGUUACAUCAACCUCCAGGACUCUCAUUGUCUCAGAUUCUUCCGCUUACCUACCUGCCUUGAUUCAUUAUCAACUAUGUGUUUGACUAACAAUAGAUUUAAAUUCUGUGAGUUCUAAUAUAUAAAAAAUACUUUUCAUUAUAAUAUUACGUAUCUCCUCCAUCUC
Molecule: long non-coding RNA, 445 nt
Organism: Homalodisca vitripennis (glassy-winged sharpshooter)
Lineage: Eukaryota; Metazoa; Arthropoda; Insecta; Hemiptera; Cicadellidae
Exons: 2
Source: RefSeq, a predicted model, not a curated record